AUUGAACGCUGGCGGCAUGCCUUACACAUGCAAGUCGAACGGCAGCACGGGUGCUUGCCCCUGGUGGCGAGUGGCGAACGGGUGAGUAAUACAUCGGAACAUGUCCUGUAGUGGGGGAUAGCCCGGCGAAAGCCGGAUUAAUACCGCAUACGAUCUACGGAUGAAAGCGGGGGACCUUCGGGCCUCGCGCUAUAGGGUUGGCCGAUGGCUGAUUAGCUAGUUGGUGGGGUAAAGGCCUACCAAGGCGACGAUCAGUAGCUGGUCUGAGAGGACGACCAGCCACACUGGGACUGAGACACGGCCCAGACUCCUACGGGAGGCAGCAGUGGGGAAUUUUGGAGAAUGGGCGAAAGCCUGAUCCAGCAAUGCCGCGUGUGUGAAGAAGGCCUUCGGGUUGUAAAGCACUUUUGUCCGGAAAGAAAUCCUUGGCCCUAAUACGGUCGGGGGAUGACGGUACCGGAAGAAUAAGCACCGGCUAACUACGUG
Molecule: ribosomal RNA, 486 nt
Filed under: uncultured bacterium
Lineage: Bacteria
Description: partial 16S ribosomal RNA
Rfam family: Bacterial small subunit ribosomal RNA
Source: RNAcentral